AAAGAAAGAGAGAGUUAGAGGAAGUUCACGGAGAUGGGUGGGUAGGCAAAAAGAAAAAGUUAAGGCCUCGUUUAAUCUUGGCUCAUACUUUUUACCUACUCCACCCAUUCCAUUCACUUCCUUCAACUUCUCUGUUUCUUU
RNAcentral lists this small RNA (141 nucleotides) under Manihot esculenta (cassava). RNAcentral's name for it is "precursor microRNA miR472c". The record is from RNAcentral. Lineage: Eukaryota; Viridiplantae; Streptophyta; Magnoliopsida; Malpighiales; Euphorbiaceae.